RNAcentral lists this non-coding RNA (86 nucleotides) under Ethanoligenens harbinense. Its description in RNAcentral is "ZTP sequence". It matches the Rfam family "ZMP/ZTP riboswitch aptamer (pfl RNA motif)". Rfam says of the family: Previously known as pfl RNA. The record is from RNAcentral. RNAcentral also lists the same sequence under 1 other name. Lineage: Bacteria; Bacillati; Bacillota; Clostridia; Eubacteriales; Oscillospiraceae.
UCAGGCUCUUAUGACUGACGGAAUUGUGGAGCACACCACAAGGGAGUAAAAGCCUGCUGAAAUUGCCGACCGUCUGGGCAGCAUUU